GUUAACUCUAUUCGCAGUGACAAACUAAACCUUAAUUGAACUGCCAUUCUUUGAACUGCCAUAUCUAUGCACAAGACUGCAAAUAGAUAAAAACCAAGGACAGCAAAGCGAAACAGAACCACCACCGCCACCAAGGACAGCGCACAUAAGACAAUCAAAGGAAGACGCUGCACAGUUAAGGUAGAGCAAGGAGGACUGUGGAAGGAAGUUGGCGACUCACAGAACAACCGUAGGGCAGAAUCUCUGAAACAGUCCAUCUUCCUUCGAUGUUGAGGAAGUGAAUAUGGAUGGAGUUUGCUUUCUGUUGGUUCCCCUCAAAGGAGCAACAUCAUGCAAAAAGCCUGAAACUAACGAGAGUCUUUAUGCUAAAUUCCGGAGAUUACUCUUUGCUUUAAAAACCGCCUUCUUUUGCACCGUGACUAAUGUGAAGAAAAUGUGAAUUUACUACAGCGCUUUGCCAAUGCUCACACACAAAAUUGGAACUUGGCACAGUGUUUCCUCUCUCUGAGGGCACUGCAUCGUCCUUCCACACGAUGUCAUUUAGGGCUUACUGUCAAUCGCGGAUACCUGUCCUAUGACACAAGACACCUGCCACACACAGACAGAUUUACUCUUCGCAGUUAUGUGACAGUGGAUGCCGUAUGUGCGCGCACAAACCCCCAAGCACUGAGUUUGUACUAAUUGCACUGAAAGAAAAGGCUCUUCAAAGAAAAAGCUAUUCUCGGGUUAAUAAAACUCUUGCCACA
Molecule: long non-coding RNA, 746 nt
Organism: Mustela lutreola (European mink)
Lineage: Eukaryota; Metazoa; Chordata; Mammalia; Carnivora; Mustelidae
Exons: 3
Source: RefSeq, a predicted model, not a curated record